This 253-nucleotide ribosomal RNA is filed under the name uncultured bacterium. RNAcentral describes it as "partial 16S ribosomal RNA". It matches the Rfam family "Bacterial small subunit ribosomal RNA", at positions 524 to 776 of the family's 1533-position model. The record is from RNAcentral.
UACGUAGGGUGCGAGCGUUAAUCGGAAUUACUGGGCGUAAAGAGUGCGUAGGCGGUUCUUGAAGUCCGGUGUGAAAGCCCCGGGCUUAACCUGGGAAUGGCAGUGGAAACUGGAGGACUUGAAUUGAGCAGAGGGGGGUGGAAUGCCGCGUGUAGCAGUGAAAUGCGUAGAGAUGCGGCGGAACACCGAUGGCGAAGGCAGCCCCCUGGGCUGAGAUUGACGCUCAGGCACGAAAGCGUGGGGAGCAAACAGG